UGGCCUAUGGGGGGCAGCAGUGGGGAAUUUUGGACAAUGGGCGCAAGCCUGAUCCAGCUAUUCCGCGUGUGGGAUGAAGGCCCUCGGGUUGUAAACCACUUUUGUAGAGAACGAAAAGACACCUUCGAAUAAAGGGUGUUGCUGACGGUACUCUAAGAAUAAGCACCGGCUAACUACGUGCCAGCAGCCGCGGUAAUACGUAUGGGGCAAGCGUUAUCCGGAUUUACUGGGUGUAAAGGGAGCGUAGGCGGCCUGGCAAGCCUGAUGUGAAAUACCGGGGCCCAACCCCGGGGCUGCAUUGGGAA
RNAcentral lists this ribosomal RNA (305 nucleotides) under uncultured bacterium. Its description in RNAcentral is "bacterial SSU rRNA". It matches the Rfam family "Bacterial small subunit ribosomal RNA", at positions 335 to 632 of the family's 1533-position model. The record is from RNAcentral.